Molecule: ribosomal RNA, 74 nt
Filed under: Cyrtorchis aff. aschersonii JF18
Lineage: Eukaryota; Viridiplantae; Streptophyta; Magnoliopsida; Asparagales; Orchidaceae
Description: partial 5.8S ribosomal RNA
Rfam family: 5.8S ribosomal RNA
About the family: 5.8S ribosomal RNA (5.8S rRNA) is a component of the large subunit of the eukaryotic ribosome. It is transcribed by RNA polymerase I as part of the 45S precursor that also contains 18S and 28S rRNA.
Source: RNAcentral
GACACGACUCUCCGGCAAUGGAUAUCUCGGCUCUCGCAUCGAUGAAGAGCGCAGCGAAAUGCGAUACUUGGUGU